RNAcentral lists this transfer RNA (72 nucleotides) under Camelus bactrianus (Bactrian camel). It matches the Rfam family "tRNA". From Rfam's summary of the family: Transfer RNA (tRNA) molecules are approximately 80 nucleotides in length. Their secondary structure includes four short double-helical elements and three loops (D, anti-codon, and T loops). Lineage: Eukaryota; Metazoa; Chordata; Mammalia; Artiodactyla; Camelidae. The record is from Rfam by way of RNAcentral. RNAcentral also lists the same sequence under 2 other names.
GAGGGUGUAGGUCAGUGGUAGAGCGCGUGCUUAGCGUGCACGAGGUCCUGGGUUCCAUCCCCAGCACCUCCA